UACGUAGGGGGCAAGCGUUGUCCGGAAUCAUUGGGCGUAAAGCGCGUGUAGGCGGCCAGAAAAGUCCGCUGUGAAAACUCGAGGCUCAACUUCGAGCUGUCGGUGGAAACUUUCUGGCUAGAGUCCGGAAGAGGAGAAUGGAAUUCCUGGUGUAGCGGUGAAAUGCGCAGAUAUCAGGAAGAACACCCGUGGCGAAGGCGGUUCUCUGGGACGGUACUGACGCUCAUGCACGAAAGCGUGGGGAGCAAACAGG
Molecule: ribosomal RNA, 253 nt
Filed under: uncultured bacterium
Lineage: Bacteria
Description: partial 16S ribosomal RNA
Rfam family: Bacterial small subunit ribosomal RNA
Source: RNAcentral